GAUUUGCGUUGAAGUAAGAUGUGGCUACCCAUCGAGGUAGGGAACUCUUAUGGAGCAUGUCUGGUUUAAAAUCAGGCGGCAA
Molecule: non-coding RNA, 82 nt
Organism: Clostridium sp. CAG:465
Lineage: Bacteria; Bacillati; Bacillota; Clostridia; Eubacteriales; Clostridiaceae
Source: Rfam